UACGUAGGGGCCGAGCGUUGUCCGGAGUUACUGGGCGUAAAGCGCGCGCAGGCGGCUGGUCUUGCCCGGCGUGAAAGCCCCCGGCUCAACCGGGGAGGGUCGUCGGGGACGGGCCAGCUUGAGGACGGCAGGGGCAGGUGGAAUUCCCGGUGUAGUGGUGAAAUGCGUAGAGAUCGGGAGGAACACCCGUGGCGAAGGCGGCCUGCUGGGCCGAUCCUGACGCUGAGGCGCGAAGGCGUGGGGAGCGAACGGG
RNAcentral lists this ribosomal RNA (253 nucleotides) under uncultured bacterium. RNAcentral describes it as "partial 16S ribosomal RNA". It matches the Rfam family "Bacterial small subunit ribosomal RNA", at positions 524 to 776 of the family's 1533-position model. The record is from RNAcentral.